AGCAACUGAUUUUUUGAUGGCCAAGUAAUUGACUGGGUGAGAUAUUAUUUGAUGAGACUUUUACAUAAAGUGGAGGUCUUGUGUGCUCUGCGCCAAUGUUACAAAUCCAAUGGAUGUUUUUAUAAAGACAGAGCUCUCCCCUAUCCUCAUUUCCUGCUAACUAUGUAUUUGCUCUGUGAGUCAGCUGGACUGGUCCUCCCAAGAGACAACUGACUGCUCAUGGUGCUGUAUUUAUACACAGCCAGAGUGAAGGCGUGUGCUACCCCUAGAAGGGUCAGCCAGGAGCUCAUCAUCAGAACCCUUUGAGUAUAAUCAAGGAAACUCUCUGCUCCACCCUAAGACUGACCUAUUUAAACAGGGAGACAAAGCAGCUGAGGACAUCUCUGCUUUUGAACCAUCAAGGAGCCAUGCCUUGAGUCAGAGGAGCUGUAAAUUGGGCUGGUGGCUCUGUCCAGCAUUCUGAGCAAGGAGGACCUUCAAUGUGAGAGGAAUUGGAGGAAAGGCAUAAAGGAGACCUGUGUUCCAGUGACAGAGGAAGGUUCCAAUCAGGCCGGGAGCACCAUUGUGCUGGUUCCUGUAUGCACACACAACAAGACCAUCUCAAUCCACAGAGGAAGAUCAGGGGAUGGGGAUACACCAUAAGAGCAAAUGAAACUGAUGAAAAAUUGUCCCAGCUUUGUUACCUGCAUUAAGAGUAAAAGACCUCUCAGGAAGAACUAGACUGUCACAGCUGAUGCCCAACAGUGACUCCCAUGGCCAGAUGUUGAAAAUGCAUGAAAUGUUCUUUUCAUUGCCAAACAAUGAAAUAAACACUGCCGUUCCAUAUUAAACUGUUCAGUGCCAACAAUCAUGCACUGAUUUGCGAGAAAUGCCAAUGCUAAAUGAGAAACAGAGGGACAAUAACACACAAUGAAAUUAAAGCAGCCAGCAAAGGCCUCAAACAUGGGCAAGCUCUUGGAACUGACAGAGCUCAUGGGCAGGGUGGGUGGAGAGAGAGCAAAGGCCGGAUUUCACAGAGGUUUGGUAAGAAAAUGCAGCACAAUUCCAGAUGCUCUGAACCUAGACUACUUAUCACUAGGACCACUCAAUGCGAGUCUAUGUAUUUAAUCAAGUGUGGUGUGGUUUUGGUUUUAGCUCUUG
Molecule: long non-coding RNA, 1140 nt
Organism: Mauremys reevesii (Reeves's turtle)
Lineage: Eukaryota; Metazoa; Chordata; Testudines; Geoemydidae
Exons: 5
Source: RefSeq, a predicted model, not a curated record